UGCCCUGUCGUCUAAUUGGUAGGACAUGAGAAUCUGGAUCUCAGUAUCUUGGUUCGAUUCCAAGCGGGGCAA
RNAcentral lists this transfer RNA (72 nucleotides) under Omnitrophica WOR_2 bacterium RIFCSPHIGHO2_01_FULL_48_9. RNAcentral's name for it is "tRNA-Gln". It matches the Rfam family "tRNA". Rfam says of the family: Transfer RNA (tRNA) molecules are approximately 80 nucleotides in length. RNAcentral also lists the same sequence under 1 other name. Lineage: Bacteria; Pseudomonadati; Candidatus Omnitrophota. The record is from RNAcentral.